Long non-coding RNA from Populus trichocarpa (black cottonwood), 698 nucleotides. RefSeq lists it as uncharacterized. The transcript has 2 exons. NCBI's taxonomy places the organism in Eukaryota, Viridiplantae, Streptophyta, Magnoliopsida, Malpighiales, Salicaceae. The record is from RefSeq and is a predicted model, not a curated record.
GGUGGUGGAGAUGAGAUUUGAGGCGGUGAUGGAGAUGAACUUUGAGGUGGAGGUGUCGAUGAUGGUGGUGGAGAAUUUUGAGGUGGUGUUGUUGAUGGUGAUGGUGGAGAGGAACUUGUAGGUGGAUUCAACAGUGAUGGUGGUGGUGGUGGAGGUGAGCUCACAGGCGGAGUUGCUGAUAGUGGUGGAGGAGAAUUGGAGUUUGAUGGAGGAUCACUACUGGAUAAAGGCGGAGAACGUGAUGUCAUAGGAGGUGGUGGUUGUGGUGGAGGGGUUGAUGGUGUGGCAGGAGGAGGAUUAGAAACAGUAGGAGGAGGGGUUUGGGGUGGUGGUGAUGGAGCAGGAGGGGUUCUUGGGUCUGGUGGAUUGGCAUUGGGCUGUGAAGGUGGGGAAGUGGGAGGAGGAGAGGAGGCUUGUGGUGGUGAACUAGUAGAGGAUGGUGGUGGUGUACCGUUUAAAGGUGGUGGAGUAGCAGAGGGGGGUGAAUUUGGGGAUGGAGAUACAGUUGCCAUCACUACAGUUCCAAAUCAAGCGACUUCAAAUCACAUCACAGAAUUUAAACUUUCAUUGGCUUUUCACCAAGUUCUCCCAAUUCCAGUACGAAAGGCAAGGUUUAGAUCAAAACACACCCAUCAAUUUCAAGAAAUAACUCCAAAAUGAACAAACUUUAAAACCAAGAGAGAUUCAAAUCACCAAAA